GCCAGAGUGGCUCAUAGUGGCAGCCCACCGCGCUGCUCAGCCCUAUGGGCCCCGCCACCACUCAGGCGGCCCACCACCAGAGUGGGAAAAAGUGGCAGCCUGCCCCGCUGCUCGGCCCUGGGGGCGCCCCACCCAGUCUGGCGGCCGACUGCCAGAGUGGCUCAAAGUGGCAGCCCGCCGCACUGCUCAGCCCUCUGGGCCCCACCCCGACUCAGGCGGCCGACGGUCAGAGUGGGAAAAAGUGGCAUCCCGCCUCGCUGCUCAGUCCUGGCGGCCCCCGCACACCCCACUCAGGCGGACGACCGCCACAGUGCGUAAAAGUGGGAGUCCGCCACGCUGCUCAGACCUAUGGCUACGCCCCCCACUCAGGCGGCCGACCACCAGAGUGCGUAAAAGUGGCAGACCACUGCGCUGCUCAACCCAGGGGGCCUUCCACCCCACUCAAGCGCCCGACCGCCAGAGUGGGACAUAGUGGCAGCCCGCCGCGCUGCUCAGCCCUGGGGUCCCUCACGCCACUCAGGCGGCCGACCAAAAGAGUGGGUUAAAGUGGCAGCCCGCCGCGCUGCUCAGCCCUGGGGGCCCCACCUUGACUCAGGCGGCAGACCGCCAUAGUGGGUCAAAGGGGCAGCCCGAUGCGCUGCUCAGCCCUGGGGGCGCCCCACACACUCUGGUGUCCGACCGCCAGAGUGGCCCAAAUUGGCAGCCCGCAGCGCUGCUCAGCCCUGGGGUCCCUCACCCCACUCAGGCGGCCGACAGACAGAGUGGGUCAUAGUGGCAGCCCGCCGCGCAGCUCAGCCCUGGGGGUCCAACCCUGACUCAGGCGGCAGACCACCACAAUGGUGAAAGUGGCAGCCCGCUGCGCUGCCCAGCCCGGGCGGGCCCCCCUCUACUCAGGCGGCCGACAGCCAGACUGGGUCAAAGUGGCAGCCCGCCAUGCUGCUCACCCCUGGCGGCCACCGCCAACUCAGGCUGCCGACCACCAGAGUGGGUCAAAGUGGCAGCCCGCCGCGCUGCUCAGCCCUGGGGGCCCUUCCAACCCACUCAGGCGGCCGACCGAUAGAGUGGGAAAAAGUGGCAGCCUGUCGCGCUGCUCAGCCCUGGGGGGCCUCCACACCCACUCAGGCGAUGGACGGCCAGAGUGGGUCAAAGUGGCAGCCCGCCGCGCUGCUCAGCCAUGGGGGCCCUCCCUCACCACUCAGGCGGCCGAGGGACAGAGUGGUUCAAAGUGGCAGCCCACCACACUGCUCAGCCCUGGGGGCCCUCCCCACCCACUCAUGCUGCCGACCGUCAGAGUGGGUCAAAGUGGCAGCCCACCACACUGCUCUGCCCCUGGGGCCCUCCCCCACACUCGGGUGCCCAAACAGCAGAGUGGGUCAAAGCGGCAGCCCACCGCGCUGCUCAGCCCUGGCGGCCCUCCCCCUCCACUCAGGCGGCCGACCGCCAGAGUGGGUCAAAGUGGCAGCCCGCCGCGCAGCUCAGUCCGGGCGGGCCCCCCUCUACUCAGGCGGCCGACAGAAAGACUGGGUCAAAUUGGCAGCCCGCCGCACUGCUCAGCCCUGGAGGCCCCCCCCUCCCCACUCUGGCUGCCGACCACCAGAGUGGGUCAAUGUGGCAGCCCGCCGCGCAGCUCAGCCCUGGCUGCCCCACCCUGACUGAGGCGGCCGACCGCCAGAGUGGGUCAAAGUGGCAGCCCGCCGCGCAGCUCAGCCCUGGCUGCCCCACCCUGACUGAGGUGGCAGACCGCCAUAGUGGGUCAAAGUGGCAGCCCGCCGCGCAGCUCAGUCCGGGCGGGCCCCCCUCUACUCAGGCGGCCGACAGAAAGACUGGGUCAAAUUGGCAGCCCGCCUCGCAGCUCAGCCCUGGCUGCCCCACCCUGACUGAGGUGGCAGACCGCCAUAGUGGGUCAAAGGGGCAGCCCGCCACGCUGCUCAGCCCUGGGGGACCUCUCCACACUCAGGCGGCCGACCGCCAGAGUGGGUCAAAGUAGCUGCCCGCCGCGCUGCUCAGCCCUGGCUGCCCCACCCUGACUGAGGUGGCAGACCGCCAUAGUGGGUCAAAGGGGCAGCCCGCCACGCUGCUCAGCCCUAGGGGCGCCCCACACACUCUGGUGUCCGACUGCCAGAGUGGCCCAAAUUGGCAGCCCGCAGCGCUGCACAGCCCUGGGGGCCCUCCUCCCACUCAUGCGGCCGACCGCCAGUGUGGGUCAAAGUGGCAGCCCGCCGCGCUGCUCAGCCUUGGGGUCCCUCACCCCACUCAGGCGGCCGACAGACAGAGUGGGUCAUAGUGGCAGCCCGCCGCGCUGCUCAGCCCGGGCGGGCCCCUCUCUACUCAGAUGGCCGACAGCCAGACUGGGUCAAAGUGGCAGCCUGCCGCGCUGCUCAGACCUGGGGGACCCACCCCCACUCAGGCGGCGGACCACCAGAGUGGGUCAAAGUGGCAACCCGCAGCGCAGCUCAGCCCUGGGCGCCCCACCUUGUCUCAGGCGGCAGACCGCCAGUGUGGGUCAAAGUGGCAGCCCGCCGCGCUGCUCAGCCCUGGGGUCCCUCACCCCACUCAUGCGGCCGACAGCCAGAGUGGGUCAAAGUGGCAACCCGCCGCGCAGCUCAGCCCUGGGGGACACAACCUGACUCAGGUUGCAGACCGCCAGAGUGGGUCAAAGUGGCAGCCCGCCGCGCUGCUCAGCCCUGGUGGCCACACCCCACUCAGGCGGCCCACCGCCAGAGUGGGUCAAAGUGUUAGCACGCAUUGCUGCUCAGCCCCUGGGGACCUCCCCCACACUCAGGUGCCCAACCAGCAGAGUGGGACAAAGUGGCAGCCCACAGCGCUGCUCAGCCCUGGGGGCCCUCCCCCCACUCAGGCGGCCGACCGCCAGAGUGGGUCAAAGUGGCAGCCCGCCGGGCUGCUCAGCCCUGGGGGCCCUCUCCCCACUCAGGAGUCUGACCGCCAGAGUGGGUCAAAGUGGCAGCCCCACCCCCACUCAGGCGGCCGACAGCCAGAGAGGGUCAAAGAGGGAGCCCGCCGCGCUGCUCAGCCCCCCCAACAGUCAGGCGGGCGACGGCCAGAGUGGGUCAAAGUGGCAGUCCGCCACGAUGCUCAUCCCUGGGGGCCCUUUCCCCACCCAAGCGGCCGACCGCCAGAGUGGGUCUAAGUGGCAGCCCGCUGCGCUGCUCAGCCCUGGGGCCCCUCCCUCCCACUAAGGCGCCCCACCGCCAGAGUGGGUCAGAGUGGCAGCCCGCCGCGCUGCUCAGCCCUGGGGGCCCCACCCCCACUCAGGCGGCAAUCCGCCAGAGUGGGUCAAAGUGGCAGCCCUCCGAGGUGCUGAGCAUUGGCGGGCCCGACCCCCACUCAAGCGGCCCAUAGACAGAGUGGGAAAAAGUGGCAGCCCGCCGCGCUGCUCACCCCUGGCGGCCACCGCCAACUCAGGUGGCCCACCGCCAGAGUGGUCAAACUGGCAGCCUGCCGCGCUGCUCAGCACUGGGGACCCCACUCCCACUCAGGCGGCCGACCGCCCGAGUGGGUCAAAGUCGCAGCCCGCAGCACUGCUCAGCCCUGGGGGCGCCCC
Molecule: long non-coding RNA, 3562 nt
Filed under: Equus caballus (horse)
Lineage: Eukaryota; Metazoa; Chordata; Mammalia; Perissodactyla; Equidae
Description: lncRNA (ENSECAG00000039160.3)
Source: RNAcentral